AGAUCACCGAGGAAGCAGGAUGUGACCUGCCAGCUGAAAAAGCUGCCAACUGACAAAGUCGUUAUCAGAUGCUUACCAUGUGGGAAGUGCUGAGGCUACAGAUAUUCCUGAGCCAUAGGAGUUUACAGUCCAACAUGCAGACAGCUUCAUAUCUAUUGACGAUUCCUCUUUCUCAUUGCCUGUGACUGAUCACUGACCCAGCCUAGAUUUCCUCCAACGCAUGGCUUGCAGCCUUCACCUCUCAGAGCUCUGCCACUGCCAUCUUCGUCACAACUACAACUCAAGGACAUGAGCUAUUCACAGGCUGUCUCUGGCUGUGAGUGAGUCCAUCACCCAUGCUGAAUCAAGGGAAGCUGUAUCAAAAGCAAAGUAACUGGCAGAAGAUGAAUCUAUCAUGAUCAAUGAGGUAUGGAAAAAGAGGAGUUCAAAGCAAGCUACCUAUCCUGUGUCUGGCUCUCUGGCUCU
Myodes glareolus (Bank vole) is the source of this 465-nucleotide non-coding RNA. The record is from RefSeq and is a predicted model, not a curated record. Lineage: Eukaryota; Metazoa; Chordata; Mammalia; Rodentia; Cricetidae.